CUUAGAGGUGUUUCGUACUUCAGUAUUUAAACCAAUGAUUCGCCUUGGAAUGCAUAACAGCCUAAUUAAAUAA
RNAcentral lists this transfer RNA (73 nucleotides) under Prasiola crispa. Its description in RNAcentral is "tRNA-Cys". The record is from RNAcentral. Lineage: Eukaryota; Viridiplantae; Chlorophyta; Trebouxiophyceae; Prasiolales; Prasiolaceae.